Molecule: long non-coding RNA, 629 nt
Filed under: Malus domestica (apple)
Lineage: Eukaryota; Viridiplantae; Streptophyta; Magnoliopsida; Rosales; Rosaceae
Description: long non-coding RNA (MDOM_LNC002642)
Source: RNAcentral
UGAUUUGUUUUAGGUCAGAUCCCAAUUAACAGUUCCAUUCCAUUUCCAUCCAUCUAACUCCAAGCACAGCACAGCUGCACAGCCCAGCCCCUGCGCGUCCCUCACCGAGCCCUCAUCUCUCAUCUAUCUGUGUCGAAUUCCGGCCCACCACCACACCACACAGCCUUCCUUCACCACACAGCCACCGCUCUCUCUCACAAUCUCUCUCUCGGGCGAUUUUCUCUCGCGAUCUCUCUCACCACCACACCGAGUCCGAGUCUCACUCUCACCCCAAAUUAGGUAAUUAAUUUAGUGUUUUGAAAUCUAAUUUCUGUUGGUAGAUUUUGCUUUGAAGUUUUCAAAUGGUUUUAAGAUUUAAUUUUUUGUUUUGUUAUUCCGUAACCUGACUAUUGUUGUUUUAUUGUUUGAUUUUAUUAGAAGGUUAUCUUAAUUAUGGCUCUAUAUCUUUCGUUGGUGCUUUGAUCUCUUUAUUGCUCAUAUCUUCCUUCAUGUUGCAGCUUUAUUAGUUGAGCGAGCAGCAUCCUUGAAGUUGACGAAUAUGUGAGAGUCCCAUUGGGUUACUGCCAAUGACCAAAUGUAGAUGUUAUGCAAAUGGAUGGGAAUGGCAUUUACAGUAAAACGUUUAGAUC